CCGAAAAUGUUGGUUUAAACCCUUCCUGUACUA
This 33-nucleotide transfer RNA is filed under the name Crotaphytus collaris. Its description in RNAcentral is "partial tRNA-Met". Lineage: Eukaryota; Metazoa; Chordata; Lepidosauria; Squamata; Crotaphytidae. RNAcentral also lists the same sequence under 1 other name. The record is from RNAcentral.